RNAcentral lists this ribosomal RNA (586 nucleotides) under uncultured bacterium. Its description in RNAcentral is "partial 16S ribosomal RNA". It matches the Rfam family "Bacterial small subunit ribosomal RNA", at positions 355 to 1375 of the family's 1533-position model. The record is from RNAcentral.
CGGGGAAUUUUGGACAAUGGGCGAAAGCCUGAUCCAGCAAUGCCGCGUGUGUGAAGAAGGCCUUCGGGUUGUAAAGCACUUUUGUCCGGAAAGAAAUCCUUGGCUCUAAUACAGUCGGGGGAUGACGGUACCGGAAGAAUAAGCACCGGCUAACUACGUGCCAGCAGCCGCGGUAAUACGUAGGGUGCAAGCGUUAAUCGGAAUUACUGGGCGUAAAGCGUGCGCAGGCGGUUUGCUAAGACCGAUGUGAAAUCCCCGGGCUCAACCUGGGAACUGCAUUGGUGACUGGCAGGCUAGAGUAUGGCAGAGGGGGGUAGAAUUCCACGUGUAGCAGUGAAAUGCGUAGAGAUGUGGAGGAAUACCGAUGGCGAAGGCAGCCCCCUGGGCCAAUACUGACGCUCAUGCACGAAAGCGUGGGGAGCAAAACAGGAUUAGAUACCCUGGUAGUCCACGCCCUAAACGAUGUCAACUAGUUGUUGGGGAUUCAUUUCCUUAGUAACGUAGCUAACGCGUGAAGUUGACCGCCUGGGGAGUACGGUCGCAAGAUUAAAACUCAAAUGAAUUGACGGGGUCAUAGCUGUUUCCU